Molecule: transfer RNA, 77 nt
Filed under: Malaciobacter halophilus
Lineage: Bacteria; Pseudomonadati; Campylobacterota; Epsilonproteobacteria; Campylobacterales; Arcobacteraceae
Also listed under: 4 other names
Description: Arcobacter halophilus tRNA-Met
Rfam family: tRNA
About the family: Transfer RNA (tRNA) molecules are approximately 80 nucleotides in length. Their secondary structure includes four short double-helical elements and three loops (D, anti-codon, and T loops).
Source: RNAcentral
CGCGGAAUAGAGCAGCCAGGUAGCUCGUCGGGCUCAUAACCCGAAGGUCACAAGUUCAAAUCUUGUUUCCGCAACCA